This 575-nucleotide ribosomal RNA is filed under the name Companilactobacillus farciminis. Its description in RNAcentral is "bacterial SSU rRNA". It matches the Rfam family "Bacterial small subunit ribosomal RNA", at positions 62 to 610 of the family's 1533-position model. The record is from RNAcentral. Lineage: Bacteria; Bacillati; Bacillota; Bacilli; Lactobacillales; Lactobacillaceae.
ACGAACCAUCCUGAAGAUUGAAGCUUGCUUCAUGAUUCAGAUUUUGGUGAGUGGCGGACGGGUGAGUAACACGUGGGUAACCUGCCCAAAAGUGGGGGAUAACAUUUGGAAACAAGUGCUAAUACCGCAUAACAACUACUUUCACAUGAUCGUAGCUUGAAAGAUGGCUCUGCUAUCGCUUUUGGAUGGACCCGCGGCGUAUUAGCUAGUUGGUGAGGUAAUAGCUCACCAAGGCAAUGAUACGUAGCCGACCUGAGAGGGUAAUCGGCCCCAUUGGGACUGAAACACGGCCCAAACUCCUACGGGAGGCAGCAGUAGGGAAUCUUCCACAAUGGGCGAAAGCCUGAUGGAGCAAUGCCGCGUGAGUGAAGAAGGUUUUCGGAUCGUAAAACUCUGUUGUUGAAGAAGAACAUGCGUGAGAGUAACUGUUCGCGUACUGACGGUAUUCAACCAGAAAGCCACGGCUAACUACGUGCCAGCAGCCGCGGUAAUACGUAGGUGGCAGCGUUGUCCGGAUUUAUUGGGCGUAAGAGAAUGUAGGCGGUUUAUUAAGUUUGAAGUGAAGCCCUCGGCUC